RNAcentral lists this ribosomal RNA (372 nucleotides) under uncultured organism. Its description in RNAcentral is "bacterial SSU rRNA". It matches the Rfam family "Bacterial small subunit ribosomal RNA", at positions 526 to 896 of the family's 1533-position model. The record is from RNAcentral.
CGGAGGGGGCUAGCGUUAUUCGGAAUUAUUGGGCGUAAAGGGCGCGUAGGCGGCCCGGUAAGUCAAAGGUGAAAUCCCUCGGCUCAACUGAGGAACUGCCUUUGAAACUGUCGGGCUUGAGGCCGGGAGGGGGUAGCGGAAUUCCCAGUGUAGCGGUGAAAUGCGUAGAUAUUGGGAGGAACACCGGUGGCGAAGGCGGCUACCUGGACCGGUUCUGACGCUGAUGCGCGAAAGCGUGGGUAGCAAACAGGAUUAGAUACCCUGGUAGUCCACGCUGUAAACGAUGAGUGCUCGGUGUCGCGGGUAUCGACCCCUGCGGUGCCUUAGCUAACGCGUUAAGCACUCCGCCUGGGGAGUACGGUCGCAAGGCUG